RNAcentral lists this ribosomal RNA (252 nucleotides) under uncultured bacterium. RNAcentral describes it as "partial 16S ribosomal RNA". It matches the Rfam family "Bacterial small subunit ribosomal RNA", at positions 524 to 776 of the family's 1533-position model. The record is from RNAcentral.
UACGAAGGGGGCUAGCGUUGUUCGGAAUCACUGGGCGUAAAGCGCACGUAGGCGGAUUUUUAAGUCAGGGGUGAAAUCCCACGGCUCACCCGUGGAACUGCUGGGCAUACUGGCGAUCUUGGGCCAACUAGGGCAGCCGGAACAAACGGUGGGAGCGGUGAAAUGCGUAGAUAUCGUUUGGAACGCCAAUGGUGAAAACAGGUUGCUGGGGUGUGCUGACGCUGAGACACGAAAGCCAGGGGAGCGAACGGG